AAAUUGAAGAGUUUGAUCAUGGCUCAGAUUGAACGCUGGCGGCAGGCCUAACACAUGCAAGUCGAACGGUAACAGGAAUCAGCUUGCUGAUUCGCUGACGAGUGGCGGACGGGUGAGUAAUGUCUGGGAAACUGCCUGAUGGAGGGGGAUAACUACUGGAAACGGUAGCUAAUACCGCAUAACGUCGCAAGACCAAAGAGGGGGACCUUCGGGCCUCUUGCCAUCGGAUGUGCCCAGAUGGGAUUAGCUUGUUGGUGGGGUAACGGCUCACC
RNAcentral lists this ribosomal RNA (272 nucleotides) under Escherichia coli. RNAcentral's name for it is "partial 16S ribosomal RNA". It matches the Rfam family "Bacterial small subunit ribosomal RNA", at positions 1 to 269 of the family's 1533-position model. The record is from RNAcentral. Lineage: Bacteria; Pseudomonadati; Pseudomonadota; Gammaproteobacteria; Enterobacterales; Enterobacteriaceae.